GACGAACGCUGGCGGCGUGCUUAACACAUGCAAGUCGAACGGAAAAGCUCUGCUUGUGGGGGGUCCUUGGCGAGCGAACGGGUAAGUAACAGGCAACCUACCUGCCCCUGUCGUUUGGAUAACAUCAAGUAAGUGGAACUAAUACUAUGUAGGCUGACCGGCUGGACUGUGGGGGGUGGGAUGUUUCGGCGGUUGGGGAUGGACCCGCGGCUUAUCAGCUUGUUGGUGGGGUAGUGGCUUACCAAGGCGUUGACGGGUAGCCGGCCUGAGAGGGUGACCGGCCACACUGGGACUGAGAUACGGCCCAGACUCCUACGGGAGGCAGCAGUGGGGAAUAUUGCGCAAUGGGCGGAAGCCUGAUGCAGCGACGCCGCGUGGGGGAUGACGGCCUUCGGGUUGUAAACCGCUUUCGCCAGUGACGAAGCGAAAGUGACGGUAACUGGAGAAGAAGCACCGGCUAACUACGUG
RNAcentral lists this ribosomal RNA (468 nucleotides) under uncultured bacterium. Its description in RNAcentral is "partial 16S ribosomal RNA". It matches the Rfam family "Bacterial small subunit ribosomal RNA", at positions 28 to 507 of the family's 1533-position model. The record is from RNAcentral.